GGUGCUCGAGUGGCGAACGGGUGAGUAACACGUGAGUAACCUGCCCUUGACUUUGGGAUAACUUCAGGAAACUGGGGCUAAUACCGGAUAGGAGCUCCUGCUGCAUGGUGGGGGUUGGAAAGUUUCGGCGGUUGGGGAUGGACUCGCGGCUUAUCAGCUUGUUGGUGGGGUAGUGGCUUACCAAGGCUUUGACGGGUAGCCGGCCUGGGAGGGUGACCGGCCACAUUGGGACUGAGAUACGGCCCAG
Molecule: ribosomal RNA, 247 nt
Filed under: uncultured Actinomycetales bacterium
Lineage: Bacteria; Bacillati; Actinomycetota; Actinomycetes; Actinomycetales
Description: partial 16S ribosomal RNA
Rfam family: Bacterial small subunit ribosomal RNA
Source: RNAcentral